UGGCCAUCCGUGUGUCUUUGGAGAAAUGUCUAUUUCAGUCUUCUGCCCAUUUUUCAGUUGGGUUGCUUGUGUUUUUGUUGUUGAGUUGUAAGAGUUGUUUGUAUAUUUUGGAGAUCAGGCCCUUUUCUGUUGCAAGUUCUAUUUUAGAUUUUCAAGGAAAUAAUUUCUUCUAUAACAAUAUCUCUAAGAGAUAGGGACAUGUUUUAAAAAUACAUAAUCACGAUACCUUUAUCCCUCCUAAAAUGAUUAACAGAAAGUUCUUACUAUGAUCUGCUUAUAGUCAGUGGAGAGCUGGGCUUUACAGAGAGGAGAUUUUAGUAGGUGGUGGUGGGAGGCAGGGGCUUCAGGUGUAAAAGCAGGGAAGUGUGGGUAAGUGACAGGUGGUGCAUGUCGGGCUAAGGGCUGCGGCGUGCAAGGGGAAGGAAAUGGCAGGUGUGAGUCCUGGUGGAGGAGACGUCAGUGGAUUUGUCCAGUUCCAGACCGCACGUGGGCUCCCCUCUCUUCCUGGUUGACAGUGCUUGCUUGAGUGGUCGUUUCGAGCUGGGUAGAACAGGGUGGCGAGCUGAGUCCUGCCCUCGGCCGUGUCUGUAAAUAAAGGUGUGGGGCUCACAGAAGUCACAGCCAUUCGCACACACGUUGCAGGCUGCCUGCGCUCGCCCUGCAAAGGCAGGAUUGAGUGGUUGCAACAGACACCCUAUGCCCUGCAACGCCCCCACUAUUUACUGUCUGGCCCUUUAUAGAAGAAGCCUGCUGCCCUCUGAUCUGGAAGAUACCGGGCCGAGUUUAGCGCAGUGAGGAGGCUGUGUGGAAUGUACCGGUGAGGAGCAGCCAUGGGGGCAGAGGCUGGGAUUUGUUUUGCUCUGUCUCCACCGUUCACCCUGUAGCCUGAGAAAGGCCUGGAUUAGAGCCGGUGCACUUCGCGGGCACUCAGUAGGCGAUUGCUGAAGAAGACCCGGAAGUCGUGGUGUAACAGUGUGGGAGGCAGCUGGGCCGGAAGGAUGCUCGUUCCCCUUUACGAGCCCACAUUCGACCUGUAGCCUGAAGUCGUGUGACUGUCGUGUGGCUGAGUGGCACGUUGAAGAUGAAAGAUUUGACAGUGGCUGAGGACAGAGGCGGGACUUCGGUAUGUGGAGUGAGUGCGGAAGUGGGACACUCUCUCCUCUAAGACAAGAAUACACUGGGCAGAGGUGUCAAAAAACAACCACUGCAGGACUCAGGAAGUACAACAGCUGCCAGCGUCAAAUUGAGAAGCGUUUUGCCUCGAGCUGUGGUGUGGGUCCCACAUGCAGCUUGGAUCUGGUGUGGCUGUGGCUGUGGCCAGCAGCUGCAGCUCCGAGGUGACCCCUAGCCUGGGAAUUUCCAGAUGCCGCAGGUAAGGCCAUAAAAACUGCUACUGCCACCGCCACCACUACCACUACUACUAAAUUGAGAAGCAUCUGGAGUUCCUGUCGUGGCGCAGUGGUUGACGAAUCCGACUAGGAACCAUAAGAUUUCGGGUUCGGUCCCUGCCCUUGCUCAGUGGGUUAACGAUCCGGCAUUGCUGUGAGCUGUGGUGUAGGUUGCAGACGCGGCUCGGAUCCCGCGUUGCUGUGGCUCUGGUGUAGGCCUGUGGCUACAGCUCCAAUUAGACCCCUAGCCUGGGAAUCUCCAUAUGCCGCGAGAGCGGCCGAAGAAAUAGCAAAAAGACAAAAAAAAAAAAAAAAAAAAGCAUUUAAUCAGAAGGAACGGCUGAACUUCAUUCAGAUAAGGACAGUGGGGUGUUUGUUUCUUUAAUUUUAGUGAAGUAUAGUGGACUUACAAUAGCGUGUUCAUUUCUGCCACACAGCAAAGGGACCCAGUUAUACACAUGUAUAUUCUUUCUCACGUUUUCCUCUGUUAUGGUUUGUGGGAGGGGAUUGCGUCUCGUUGGUUCCCACGCCACGCAGUGGGACCUGUUGUUCUCCAUCCAGUAUUUAACAGCUGACCCCAAACUCCCUCCUUCCCUGUCCACCCCCCGCAGGGGGAGUUUCUCAUGUUCUUGGCUGGGGACUACCCCCUGCCACCUCUAACCCCCCAUCAGUGUAGUAGUUCCGUCAUCGUUGGGGGGGGGGGUGGCAGACCAUAGAGCUGGCUGCGGGGCGGGCGGGGGGCGGCAGCACUUGAUUUGGAGCCGAAGGUGAAAAGCCCCGCCCACUGGCAUCGUCAGUACCAGUUGGAUCUCAGCAGCAAGUGAACAGGCAGCUCUGGCAGCCUAAAUAGCUGCCCCACUGGGGUCAGACAGUAGACUGGUCAGACAUGUAGCAGAGGCCCUGGAAAUGAUGCAGCCACAGAAAGACUUGGAAAGCUCUCCACACUCGCCUGACCAACUUGCAGACAAGAGCAGAGGCGUCCCAAGCUCCCUGCACAGCCCAGGUGGCCGGGGACGCUGAAACAGCAUAGGGAACAUGCAGAAGGGCCCAGCGGAAAGUCACAGUUGGGGGGAGCCCUGAACUGGGUGUUCUUAACCCCACACAGAUCACCGAGCAGAGAUUGGAGCCUAGUUGGCUCCAGGGGUGUGAGCAGGACCUUUAACCAAUCACUGGCGGAUCACUAAACCCUGCAGGUGCAGGGGCAACCCCCAAGGAGUCAGGUCUGAAAAUGAAACAAGAAUUAAAAGAAAAAGCACCUGAGCAGAAACAUCAUGGCUGCACAACAUGGAGGGACAGAUCCAGCAGAUUCAGUCCAGGAGGCUCACCGACAAUACAAGCUGUAAAAUAUGAAUAAUAGGAUCCGUUUGGUUAGAGAGAGAAGAGGGGGGCAGAGAGGGAGGGAGGGAGGGAAGUACCGAAGGGUAUGCUGAAGGUUGGUGGACACACAUUUUUUCUUGGAUUUUUAACAGUGAUUCUCCUCAGAGACUUAUCGGGAUGUUUCUUUCACUUUGCUACAUAUUUCCAAAACAAGUCAGUUAUUUUUCUAUAGUGUAUCAUAAUACUUUGUAAACACACACACACAGACGUUUUAUGAUUUUUUUUUCCCCAAUCAUAGUUGAUUUACUGUGUUCCGCCCGUUCCUCCUGUCCAGCGAAGUGAGCCAGGCACACAUAAUACAGAUUCCUUCCCCACACCAUCCUCCGUCGUGUUCCACCGCACGUGACCAGAUAGAGUCCCCUGUGCUGUGCAGCAGAAUCUCAUUGCUUAUUCCCUCCCCAUGCAAUAGUUUGCAUCUGUUAACCCCAGCCUCCCUGUCCCCCCUCCCCCUCCGCCUCUCCUUGGGCAACCACAAGUCUGUUCUCCAAGUCCCUGAGUUUCUUUCCCACACACUAUGCUUUUAAAACAGUAAGUCGUAGCAUAGCACUGACUCUUAUCUGGAAUUGUGAGAUUUACUCAUCAGGUACUCGGUCUAACAAGCACCUCACUUUCUACCUCCACGUCCUGCCUCCUGCAUUUCCUUCCUUCCUUUCUUUCUUCUCCCUUCCUUCCUCUCUCUCUCUCUCUCUCUUUCGUGUCUGUUUAGUACAUUAUAAAAAUCUUGGGGAGCCAAGCGGAUCUCAUUCACACUCUCUUUUCUUGCUCCACGUCUCUGUCCCCAGUGCAUGUGUGUGUUGCAUAUGGCAGCGCGUGCGUCUGCAGAUAUUUGCACUUCACGAGAGACGCUGUUUCUUACAGCGGCUGGAAUCCAGUAGAGCCACUGUUGUGCAGUUAUUUAGUCCGCAUUCUUUCUCCUCCCCCCAAUAACCAUCGAGACCAUCAAAACAAAGCCAAACAAAACCAAAACAAAGAC
This is a non-coding RNA of Sus scrofa (pig), 3738 nucleotides long. The record is from RefSeq and is a predicted model, not a curated record. Lineage: Eukaryota; Metazoa; Chordata; Mammalia; Artiodactyla; Suidae.